This 2181-nucleotide long non-coding RNA is filed under the name Mytilus galloprovincialis (Mediterranean mussel). The record is from RNAcentral. Lineage: Eukaryota; Metazoa; Mollusca; Bivalvia; Mytilida; Mytilidae.
AAUAAUUCUAUCAGACAAUGAGUUUAUUUGGACUUGGAUCUAUUUGUGUAUUUUGUCAAUCAAAAUGAUUUCUAUUAAUUUUUGUUUUCUAUACUAUCAAUCUUAAUUACAUUUUGUAUAUUUUUUUUUCUUUACUAUUAGUUUAACUUAUUUGCUUGUCAUGAUCUGUACAGUUGUAUUCUGACAAUACAUCAAUAUACUGCUGCUCGUUAGAUGGAAAGUCAAUGUGGAAUGUUUAUAAAAGUGAUGAAAUUCAAUAUUUACAAGGUGUGACAACAGAUAAUGAGGGGAAUGUGUAUGUGACUAAUGCGAGUACAAACACUGUAAUAGUUGUAUCUGAUGAUGGUGAACAUCAUAAAGAACUUCUUACUGAAUCAAAUGGAUUGAAUGAGCCGUUUGAAAUUUAUUUUGACAAAACUGAUAAUAUUCUGCUUGUUUGUAAUGAAAGAGACGGAAAUGCAUUUCUUUUUGACGUGAUAAGGAAAUUAACAUAAAUAAACAUAAAUAAUUCUUUCAGACAAUGAGUUGAUUCAAACUCAAUCUAUUUGUGCAUUUAGUUAUUCAAAACAACUUGUAUCAUUUUUUGUUUUCUUUACUAUCAAUCUAACUUAAAUGAAUUUCAUUUUAUGUUCAGAAAAACAAAAUUAACAAAUUUGUUAUGUACAUGUUUAGGGUAAAAUUAACACUUUUAUUUCAUGUGUGACAAAAGAGUAACUUGAUAUGGAAAGUUAAUGAAAUGUUACAAAGUGUUGUUUAAUUGAUUAACACCACUUGAUGUUUGAUAGUUGAAGACAAAAACAAAAUUAAAAAUAUAUUUCAUGAUAUCUUUUUAAACCAUAUAUUACUAGUUUAAGAGGAAAUUUUAAUAUUAGUCAUAUAUGUAUGUCCUCAAUAGUUUGUUUAUUCGAAACAUAUACGGAUGAAAGGUUCUAAAUAAAUUCAAAAUAAAUUCCACAUCGUAUUAUGUCGUUGGGUUGCUGUAUAUUGGGCGAUAAACGCUUUAAUUUCAUCUGUGACAACAAAUAAAUUUUAUAAUAAAUUUAGAGAAAUGUUACAAAGACAUAAUGUUCUUUGAUUUACAUCCACUUUCUGUUUCAGAGAAAACCAUGACUCAAGAUAGACUUCAUCAUAUCCUUGAAAUUUUUUUUUAUAGUCCCUAGGGUUGACAGUCGGUUACUUGCCAUUAAUUUUUAUACCCCUUCCAAAUUUAUUUCUCCAUGUUUUAUGCCUCAAAUUGCAAGUAGGGGGUGAAAUUACACUGUAAAAAUGUUUGGGUCCAGAAAUUUAAAGGAAAGUAGUGAUUUGGUGUAGGUAAAAAAGGUUGAAAAAUAGCACUUCGGAAGCUGUCAAAAGAUUUCAAGACGCCCUAAAGAUAAAAUUGUCCAUAUUUUUAGUUUGAGGCGAUAAAGUUUUCUAUAAUUUUGAUAUAAUUUGUCCCAAAAGUAGUACAACACACUGUAAAAGUUUCCUUGAGAAAGCGCAGGUGGGAUUUUUUUUAUUUUCAUUUAUGCUUUAAAAGAAAUGCACUACGAAAUAAUUGUGGUCUCGGACCUUAUGUGGUGUCGUCGGGUUGCUUGUCUUAUGGACUGAUACUUCUUUUUUCUUACAUUUGUGUGGUAUGAGGGUGUGGAUGGGGUUCUUAAUUUUUUUUAUUCGUUAUACUGUUUGUUCAUUAUUUUCUAUUCUUUAUCAUGAUUUAUAUUGUAGCACUUCAUUAUUCCCUAUUUGUUUAUAAAAAAUGGCGUGGCUCUGUACUUAAACAUCCUGUCAUUGUGUUAUUGUUCUAUAAUACAUUUUGUAUUUUUGUCUUUUAUUAUUGCUAAUAUGCUUUGUCUAUAUAUGCCUUAUUGUGUUCGUCUGUUACGUAUUACGCGGCUUUGUACUUAUACACCCGUCAUUGUGCUGUCCAUGGUGUUUAAAAAAUAUAAUCACGAAAAGAGGGUUGUGUUUUUUUUUUUUUUUUUUCUUGUUCUUUUAGUUUGCACUCAUGUUUAUUUGUCUCAAGAUAAUUAGUAAGACUUACGUAGAACUUGUAAGGACGUCUGCGUUAUUUUCACAAAAUUAUGUGCGCGUUAAUUCUUUUGUUUUUCGCUUGACACCCCAAAACCCCUUUGAAGCAAGUACGUGUUUGCGUUUCCGGACAAUUGGUUCUUUAAUCACUCAGAAAACACCACAGCAAAG